UGCUAGAGCACGCUCUGCAAAGAUGGCUGCUCCUUAGUAACCGAAAUGAUCACUCUUCGCCUAUGUCCUUCCGUCUGCCAAUAAGAUUCAAGUUAGUAACCUCGGGAUCCCUCCCCACCCCGGAACCUGACAGAAGGUCCACUCACUCCUAUGAGGUGAGUAUACGGUCAGAGCAAACUCGAAAUGAAUAGAUGAGAAAUUAUACUACUUUCU
Molecule: long non-coding RNA, 213 nt
Filed under: Rattus norvegicus (Norway rat)
Lineage: Eukaryota; Metazoa; Chordata; Mammalia; Rodentia; Muridae
Description: long non-coding RNA NONRATT032321
Source: RNAcentral